This 303-nucleotide ribosomal RNA is filed under the name uncultured bacterium. RNAcentral's name for it is "partial 16S ribosomal RNA". It matches the Rfam family "Bacterial small subunit ribosomal RNA", at positions 507 to 807 of the family's 1533-position model. The record is from RNAcentral.
AGCAGUCGCCGCGGUAAUACGGAGGGUGCAAGCGUUAAUCGGAAUUAUUGGGCGUAAAGGGCUCGCAGGCGGUUUCUUAAGUCUGAUGUGAAAGCCCCCGGCUCAACCGGGGAGGGUCAUUGGAAACUGGGAAACUUGAGUGCAGAAGAGGAGAGUGGAAUUCCACGUGUAGCGGUGAAAUGCGUAGAGAUGUGGAGGAACACCAGUGGCGAAGGCGACUCUCUGGUCUGUAACUGACGCUGAGGAGCGAAAGCGUGGGGAGCGAACAGGAUUAGAUACCCCUGUAGUCCCUGUCUCUUAUAC